RNAcentral lists this ribosomal RNA (497 nucleotides) under uncultured bacterium. RNAcentral describes it as "partial 16S ribosomal RNA". The stretch from base 19 to 375 matches the Rfam family "Bacterial small subunit ribosomal RNA", at positions 46 to 392 of the family's 1533-position model. The record is from RNAcentral.
GAUGAACGCUGGCGGCGUGCCUAAUACAUGCAAGUCGAGCGAACAGACGAGGAGCUUGCUCCUCUGACGUUAGCGGCGGACGGGUGAGUAACACGUGGAUAACCUACCUAUAAGACUGGGAUAACUUCGGGAAACCGGAGCUAAUACCGGAUAAUAUAUUGAACCGCAUGGUUCAAUAGUGAAAGACGGUUUUGCUGUCACUUAUAGAUGGAUCCGCGCCGCAUUAGCUAGUUGGUAAGGUAACGGCGUACCAAGGCAACGAUGCGUAGCCGACCUGAGAGGGUGAACGGCGGCAGUAGACGUGAGGCGCGGAGGAGAAAGCAAGAGGAGGCAGGAGCAGGGAAGAUUAAGGAAAGGGUGAACGCUGGAAGGAGCUGUGGUAGGGGAAUAGUGAAGGUAUAAGGAAGGUAAAAGGGUGUUAUUAUAGGCGAACAAAAGGGUAAGUAAGUAUGCGCGUCUGGAGGGAAACUGAUCAGGAGGCAACGACACCGUAGAGG